CCCUUAGAUGUCCUGGGCCGCACGCGUGCUACACUGAGUGUCUGAGAUACGAGUCUGCCUGGUCCGGCAAGGUCUAGGUAAUCGCUAAAAGACACAUCAUGCUUGGGAUAGAUUAUUGCAAAUAUUAAUCUUGAACGAGGAAUUCCUAGUAAGCGCAAGUCAACAGCUUGCGUUGAUUACGUCCCUGCCCUUUGUACACACCGCCCGUCGCUACUACUGAUUGGAUGUUUAAGCGAGGUUCUCGAACUGCUGGCGACUUAGCUUCGGUGAGGUCGCAGUGUGGGAAGUGAACCUAGCUUUGGUGUCUAGAGGAAGUAAAAGGCGUAACA
Molecule: ribosomal RNA, 329 nt
Filed under: uncultured eukaryote
Lineage: Eukaryota
Description: partial 18S ribosomal RNA
Rfam family: Eukaryotic small subunit ribosomal RNA
Source: RNAcentral